Molecule: long non-coding RNA, 1590 nt
Filed under: Homo sapiens (human)
Lineage: Eukaryota; Metazoa; Chordata; Mammalia; Primates; Hominidae
Description: non-protein coding lnc-TEKT4-4:1
Source: RNAcentral
UUAACAUUUUGAUUACAAUUCCACAUGAGUUUCUGUAGGGAUACACAACCAAAUCUUAUUAUUCUCUCCCUGCCUCCCCAAAUCUCAUGUCCUUCUCACUUUGCAAAAUACAGUGAUGCCUUACCUGCCAUUUCCCCAAGCCACUAUGCUUUUUUUACAGCCUGCAGAACCAUGAGCCAAUUAAACUCCUUUUUGUUAUGAUCAUACAGAAAAUUAGUACUGUGAAGUGAAGCUAUGAAAUGCCUUCAGUGACUUUUCCCCAUCGUCUUGGCUAAGACCCCCAAGGUCUUAACUCAUUCCAGCAUUUACUCAAAUGUCUGAAGCCCAAAGUCUCAUCUGAGACAAAGCUGCAGUCUCUUCUGCCCCUGAGCCUCUGAAAUACAAAGUAAGUUAACUACUUCCAAGGUACAACUGUCCAGGCAUUGAGUAAGAAUCCCCAGCCAAAAGGAAGAUUUUCACCAGAUAGAAGAAUAAAAUACAAGUGGGACUUACAGGUCCCAUGAAAAUCCAAAACCCAGCAGGCCAGUUUUUCAAACCUACAGCUCCAAAGUCAUCCUUUUUAAAUCCUUGUCCCACAUCCAGGGCACAAGGGUGUGAGGGCUGGGCUCCCAAGGCCUUGGGCAGCUCUGCACCUGUGGCUUUGCAGUGUUCAGCCCCCGCAGCUGCCCUCAUGGGCUGUGCUGGUGUUGAGUGCCUGGAGUUUUUAACCCAUGGAGGGUAUGAAACUUUUGUUGGGUCUAUGAAUCUGGGAUCUGCACGAUGGUGGCCUCCAGUGUGGGGGCUCCAACCUCAUAUUUUCUUUCUGCACUGCCCUAGUAGAGGUUUCCCAUGAGACUCUGCCUCUUGGGCAGCCUUCUGUCUGGACACCCAGGCAUUUUCAUACAUCUUCCGAAAUCUAUAUGGAGGCUCCCAAGUCUCUGGACUAGUGCUCCGUGCACCCACUGGCUUAACACUAUAUAGAAGUCACCAAGGCCUAUAGCUUGCACCCUCUGAAGCAGUGACCCAAGCUGUACCUGUACAUCUUUCAGCCAAGGUCAGAGCAGGAGCUGGGGCUGCUGGGAUGCAGGCAGCAGUGUCCUGAGGCUGCACACAGCAGCAGGGCCAUGGGGCUGGCCCAGGAAACCAUUCUUCUCUCCUAAGUCCCAGGGCUUGUGACAGCAAGGGCUGCUGCAAACAUCUCUGAAAUGCCUCCAAGGCUUUUCCCCACAUUGUCUUGGCUAUUAGCACUGGCCUCCAUUUUAUGCAAAUUUCUGGAGGCUUCAUGAAUUUUCCCCCUGAAAAUCAGCUUUUCUCUUUGACCACUUGGCCAGGCUGCAAAUGUUCCAAACUUUUGAGCUCUGCUUGCCAUUUAAAUAGAAAUUCCAACUUGAGGUCAUUUCCUCAGUCACACAUAAGAGCACAGGCUGUUUGAUGCAGACAGGAUCCCUCUUGUGCUAUGGUGCCUAGAAGUUCAUUCCACCAGAUAUGCACUAAAUUAUCACCCUCAAGUUCAAAGUUUCACAGAUCUUAAGGGCAAGAUCGCCCUGCAGCCACGUUCUUUGCUACAGCAAAACAAAAGUAACCUUGGCUCCUGUUCCCAGUAAGUUCCUC